This 904-nucleotide ribosomal RNA is filed under the name uncultured archaeon. RNAcentral's name for it is "bacterial SSU rRNA". It matches the Rfam family "Archaeal small subunit ribosomal RNA", at positions 1 to 884 of the family's 1478-position model. The record is from RNAcentral.
UUCCGGUUGAUCCUGCCGGACCUUACUGCUAUCGGGGUGGGACUAAGACAUGCGAGUCGAGCGUCUCUAGCUAUGUUGAGACGCGGCAGACGGCUCAGUAACACGUGGCUAACCUACCCUCAGGACGAGGAUAAACCCGGGAAACUGGGGCUAAUACUCGAUAUGUGAGGAUGUCUGGAAUGAUUUCUCACUCAAAGGGCCUUGGAAACAUGCUUCCAUUGUCGCCUGGGGAUGGGGCCGCGUCCGAUCAGGUUGUUGGUGAGGUAAUGGCUCACCAAGCCUAUAACCGGUACGGGCCGUGAGAGCGGUAGCCCGGAGAUGGGUACUGAGACAAGGACCCAGGCCCUACGGGGCGCAGCAGUCGCGAAAACUCCGCAAUGCACGAAAGUGUGACGGGGCUACCCCGAGUGCCAUCCGCUGAGGAUGGCUUUUCCUUGGUAUAACUAGCCGAGGGAAUAAGGAGAGGGCAAGACUGGUGUCAGCCGCCGCGGUAAUACCAGCUCUCCGAGUGGUAGGGAUGAUUAUUGGGCUUAAAGCGUCCGUAGCCGGCUUAGCAAGUCUCCUGUUAAAUUCAGCGACCUAAUCGUUGACCCGCGGGAGAUACUACUAAGCUAGGAGGCGGGAGAGGUCGACGGUACUUCUAGGGUAGGGGUGAAAUCCUAUAAUCCUAGGAGGACCACCAGUGGCGAAGGCUGUCGACUAGAACGCGCUCGACGGUGAGGGACGAAAGCUGGGGGAGCGAACCGGAUUAGAUACCCGGGUAGUCCCAGCCGUAAACGAUGCGGGCUAGGUGUUGGGGUGGCUACGUGCCACUUCAGUGCCGCAGGGAAGCCAUUAAGCCCGCCGCCUGGGGAGUACGGCCGCAAGGCUGAAACUUAAAGGAAUUGGCGGGGGAGCACCACAA